UACAGAGGUGGCAAGCGUUGUUCGGAAUUACUGGGCGUAAAGGGCGCGUAGGCGGCCCUCCUUGUCGCGUGUGAAAGCCCCGGGCUCAACCUGGGAAUUGCGCGCGAAACGGGGGGGCUUGAGUUCGGGAGAGGAGCGUGGAAUUCCCAGUGUAGAGGUGAAAUUCGUAGAUAUUGGGAAGAACACCGGUGGCGAAGGCAGCCCCCUGGGCCAAUACUGACGCUCAUGCACGAAAGCGUGGGGAGCAAACAGG
This 253-nucleotide ribosomal RNA is filed under the name uncultured bacterium. RNAcentral describes it as "partial 16S ribosomal RNA". It matches the Rfam family "Bacterial small subunit ribosomal RNA", at positions 524 to 776 of the family's 1533-position model. The record is from RNAcentral.